Molecule: ribosomal RNA, 482 nt
Filed under: uncultured bacterium
Lineage: Bacteria
Description: partial 16S ribosomal RNA
Rfam family: Bacterial small subunit ribosomal RNA
Source: RNAcentral
GACGAACGCUGGCGGCGUGCUUAACACAUGCAAGUCGAACGAUGAAGAAGAGAAACGCGAACUUCGGUUCAAAUUUCACUUCGGAUUAGUGGCAGACGGGUGAGUAACGCGUGAGCAACCUACCUCUUACAAAGGGAUAGCCUCGGGAAACCGUGAUUAAUACCAUAUGACACAUUCAUAAGGCAUCUUAAGAAAGUUAAAGCUACGGCGGUAAGAGAUGGGCUCGCGUCCCAUUAGCUAGUUGGUGAGGUAACGGCCCACCAAGGCGACGAUGGGUAACCGGCCUGAGAGGGUGAACGGUCACAUUGGAACUGAGACACGGUCCAUACUCCUACGGGAGGCAGCAGUGGGGAAUAUUGCACAAUGGAGGGAACUCUGAUGCAGCGACGCCGCGUGAGCGAUGAAGGGAUUCGUUUCGUAAAGCUCUGUUCUAUGGGAAGAAAAGGACUGUACCAUAGGAGAAAGCCCCGGCUAAAUACGUG